ACGGAGGGUGCGAGCGUUAAUCGGAAUCACUGGGCGUAAAGCGCACGUAGGCGGUGUCGUAAGUCGGAUGUGAAAGCCCUCGGCUCAACCGGGGAACUGCAUUCGAUACUGCGAUGCUUGAGUGCCGGAGAGGGUGGCGGAAUUCCAGGUGUAGGGGUGAAAUGCGUAGAUAUCUGGAGGAACACCGAUGGCGAAGGCGGCCCCCUGGGCGUGAACUGACGCUGAGGUGCGAAAGCGUGGGGAUCGAACAG
RNAcentral lists this ribosomal RNA (251 nucleotides) under uncultured prokaryote. RNAcentral's name for it is "partial 16S rRNA". It matches the Rfam family "Bacterial small subunit ribosomal RNA", at positions 525 to 775 of the family's 1533-position model. The record is from RNAcentral.